AUAAGGGAAAAAGCGAUCUCUUCUAAGCAUGCAUUUCUCCAUUUUACUGUGAAUAAGGGAAACGAAGAAUUGCAAGGCGAUAGAGUGAUACAGAUCUGUCCUCUUUCCCUUCCUAGAUGUCCAAACAACCAAUGUUGCUGUACAAUGAGGAUGAAACACUGAUUGCUUCUGUUGAGUAAUGAAUUGGCAGUGGCUUCAAGCAACAUUCUAAGGCCUUUAUGUCUUCAGGAAAUUUCUCAGGAGGUUUUACAGCUUCACUCUUCAGGGAAUUUCAUGAUGAAAACAGGGCAUCUAGAGGACUUCCAGAUUCUGAAGUUUCCUGCAACUGAAGUUCUGAGCAGCUCUGUUUCUCCUCAGAAGAUCUGUCUGUGUGCAUAUGUCAGCCCAGAAAGAUUGUGGCCCCUCUGUCAGCCCAGGUGUUCUGCUUUGAAAAUAGUUGUUCACAAAAGUACAUACUGCCAGAAAGAGAUGACACAGAUAAGGUGUGAUGGUGAAGCGAGGGAUAUUUUUCUCAGAUGGAUUCCUCUUCUUUCCAAGAAAAUAUAUUUUAAUGUGCCAUCUUUGUCAUGAGCCAAAUCCUCUAGUCUUUACUCAGAUAAAACUUCUAAUUAGCUCUAUGUUGGUUUUGGCUAAGAAGGAUGACAAGAUUAUUCGUUCUUUGCAGUUAAAAAAAAAAAAAAAAAAAAAAAAAAAAGAUUUCUAACUUCUAAGUGAGUGGAAGAAAUUUAAUGGGUGUGGAGAGAGACCUUGAUAGAACAUGGCACAGAAAUAAAUUCAGAUUGAAAAUGAAGAUACACCUACAGUACUUCUGUCAUGUCUUAUAUCCACAUCCAGCUUACACUAGAAAGUUGAGUGUUGGCAAUUGACUAAAACUCAAGAAAAAACAGUAGGCAAUAUUGACAAUGGCUUGAGGAAAAUUCUGAUCCUUAAGAUGGUAACAUGGUAAGAAAUACUCAUAUUGAACUACAAAUAAGCUGAUUAACAACACACAGUGCAUAUAAACAAGAACAGAACUGAAAAACUGUAAAGCAGGUAUUUAGGUCUUUCACAUUAUGUGCACAAUCUCCAAUUUCUAAUUAAGAAGCUGAAAAAACAAAUGGAAAACAUGAAAAAAAAUCAAACUCGUUAUUAAACUGAGCAGUGACAUAAAGACAGCAAAUAUAAAUUUGAAUGGAAAUGAAAAAGAAUGCACUGAACUACAAAAAAAAAAAAAAAAAAACAGUCUCGGUAGUUUCUGGUGUUCUGGUUGAAGUUCUCAUGUUCCUCAUCCUUUUAACUUCUAUAAGUCUAGUUUUAAUGAUCAGGGAAAUUUGUGAAUGUAUUUUCACUGGAGUGCUUCUCCAGAAGUAAUGCAUGUGAUAUCAGAGGUGGAUGUUGGUGCUAUGGCAGUAGAGGCAGAACCUUUCCGCUAAUAUUCUGUCACAUUUUGUUGCUGUGCAGCAGAUGGCAGCAGAGGGGCAGUCUGACAAAAUGGUGUCGGACAUGGAAGUGAGUAUGAAACAAAGAUGCGUAAUUAAAUUUUUCUGUGUGCAAAAAAUGACACCCAUUGACAUUCAUCAAUGCUUUCUGAAUGUUUAUGGAGACCAAAUAGUGGAUGUGAGCACAGUGAAGUGGUGGGUGGUGCAUUUCAGAAGUGGUGACAGCAACAUGAAAGACGAGCCAUGAUCUAAAUGGUCAUGCACAACUGUUACACCAUGAAAUGAAGAGCACCUCAAUCAACUCAUCCACACGUCAUCACCUGACUGCGACCAAGGGACUGUAUGCAGAGCUAAAUAUUGGCUUCAGUAUGUUGUAAAUGUUGUUGGCAGUGUUGGAUUAUCACAAAGUUUGCACCAGGAGGGCUUCAUGAAUUCUCACACAGGAACAGAAAGGAGAUUGCAUGCAUGUUUGUCAGGACCUGUUAAACCAAUAUGAGGCUGAAGAUGACAGUUUCCUGGAUUGCACAAUUACUGGUGAUGAGAGAAGCUGGAGUCAAAAUGGCAGUCUAUGGAGUUGGUACAUGUGAAUUCCCUAUUGAAGAAAAAGUUCCAGAUGCAGUCCUCAGCAAGAAAAGUGAUGUGCAAUGACUUUUCAAAUAGGAAAGAGGUGAUGAUUCUGGAUUUCCUGGAACCUGGGCAAACCAUCUACUCUGACUCAUGCAUCAUCUCACUGACUAAGCUGAAGGCUUGAACUUGGAGAGUCAGCCCAGAGAAGAAGACAACCUUUCUCUUGCAACACAAUAAUGUGAGGCCUCAUUCUAGUUAGAAGAUGGUGGAGCACACUGUCAGUCUUGGCUGGACUGUCCUACCACACUCCCGUUAUACUCUGAAUUUGGAACCUUCUGAUUUCCAUCCAUCUGAUUCAAAGAAAGAUAGACUGAGUGGGCAACAUCUUCCUAGCAAUGACACCAUCACAACAGCUGUGAGACAGUGGGUUAGCUCCACAGAUUUUUACUAGUGCAUCAUGAAGGCCUUUUUUCACAGGCAAAAAUGCAUAGCAAACACUGGUGACUACAGUGAAAAAGAGUGUUUUGUAGCUGAGAAUUUGGUAUAUCAAAUAGUGUCAUUGUGCUUUGUAAUUGUUGUAGUUUUCAUGGAAAUCAAUGUGAGGCAUUACUUUCAGAGCUAUCAACGUAUAAUAUACAUGAAAUAGAAGACACAAAAGAAAAUGUUAUAAUGAAUUCAGAGAUGAUUAUUUAAAAUUUACGAUAACAGAAAAAAUAAUAUUGCCAUCUAUUGGUGAAAAUUGAGAACUCCAAAUAAUUCCUAAGUAUUUGCAUACCCCCAAGUAAGGUCUUGGUCUUUGUAAAAUGAUUGAUAGUUACUAUGUCAUUGCUGUUUUGAUUUACCUGACUCCAACUAGUACAGAGACUACAUAUAGUAAACUGUGAAAAAGAUUUGUGCUGCCAUAUUCUUUACUGCUAUGGCCGACAUCACCAGAAAUAGAUUCAUAUACACCUAAAAAUGGAAGAAAUAAACAAUUGUUAGCACCUGUUGUGUUAUUGUUCAAUACAUUAAAUAGCAGCACUUCUCUAUUAGUUAAUUAAAAUGGAAUUAUUGUUUUUGCAUUCACUGCCUUUUAUCUGAUUUGUCUUCUAUCACACAAAUUUUCCUUUGAUAUAUUGAGUGAGUACUCUUUCCCCACCUCUUCAUCUUGCC
Molecule: long non-coding RNA, 3137 nt
Organism: Gallus gallus (chicken)
Lineage: Eukaryota; Metazoa; Chordata; Aves; Galliformes; Phasianidae
Source: Ensembl